RNAcentral lists this ribosomal RNA (397 nucleotides) under uncultured bacterium. Its description in RNAcentral is "partial 16S ribosomal RNA". It matches the Rfam family "Bacterial small subunit ribosomal RNA", at positions 523 to 918 of the family's 1533-position model. The record is from RNAcentral.
AUACGUAGGGGGCGAGCGUUGUCCGGAAUGAUUGGGCGUAAAGGGCGCGUAGGCGGCCCGGUAAGUCUGGAGUGAAAGUCCUGUUUUUAAGAUGGGAAUUGCUUUGGAUACUGUCGGGCUUGAGUGCAGGAGAGGUAAGUGAAAUUCCCAGUGUAGCGGUGAAAUGCGUAGAGAUUGGGAGGAACACCAGUGGCGAAGGCGACUUACUGGACUGUAACUGACGCUGAGGCGCGAAAGUGUGGGGAGCAAACAGGAUUAGAUACCCUGGUAGUCCACACUGUAAACGAUGAAUGCUAGGUGUAGGGGGUAUCGACCCCUUCUGUGCCGCAGUCAACACAAUAAGCAUUCCGCCUGGGGAGUACGGCCGCAAGGUUGAAACUCAAAUGAAUUGACGGGG